Molecule: transfer RNA, 73 nt
Filed under: Ixodes scapularis (black-legged tick)
Lineage: Eukaryota; Metazoa; Arthropoda; Arachnida; Ixodida; Ixodidae
Description: tRNA-Thr
Rfam family: tRNA
About the family: Transfer RNA (tRNA) molecules are approximately 80 nucleotides in length. Their secondary structure includes four short double-helical elements and three loops (D, anti-codon, and T loops).
Source: RNAcentral
CCCCGGUUAGCUCAGUUGGUAGAGCACUCCGCCAGUCUCGGAGAGGUGCCGGGUUUGAAUCCCGGGCCGGUCG